Molecule: ribosomal RNA, 450 nt
Filed under: uncultured bacterium
Lineage: Bacteria
Description: bacterial SSU rRNA
Rfam family: Bacterial small subunit ribosomal RNA
Source: RNAcentral
UACGAAGGCAGCAGGGGGAAUAUUGCACAAUGGGCGCAAGCCUGAUGCAGCCAUGCCGCGUGUAUGAAAAGGCCUUCGGGUUGUAAAGUACUUUCAGUCGUGAGGAAGGUGUUAAGGUUAAUAACCUUAGCAAUUGACGUUAGCGACAGAAGAAGCACCGGCUAACUCCGUGCCAGCAGCCGCGGUAAUACGGAGGGUGCGAGCGUUAAUCGGAAUUACUGGGCGUAAAGGGCACGCAGGCGGUUAAUUAAGUUGGAUGUGAAAUCCCCGGGCUUAACCUGGGAAUGGCAUUCAAGACUGGUUAGCUAGAGUCUUGUAGAGGGGGUAGAAUUCCAUGUGUAGCGGUGAAAUGCGUAGAGAUGUGGAGGAAUACCGGUGGCGAAGGCGGCCCCUGGACAAAGACUGACGCUCAUGUGCGAAAGCGUGGGGAGCAAACAGGGAUUAGAUACC